GGCUAGAUGGUCAAGUGGUAAGACAUCCGUCUCUCAAUUAUCAGCCGAUUUUGGAUAUAUCCAAACUCGCCUACGACAGACAAGCCUCCGAGUGUGUGGUUGAGAACAGACGGGAAUCCCCAGUUCAAAUCUGGGUCUGGCCA
RNAcentral lists this transfer RNA (143 nucleotides) under Pseudogymnoascus sp. VKM F-4516 (FW-969). It matches the Rfam family "tRNA". From Rfam's summary of the family: Transfer RNA (tRNA) molecules are approximately 80 nucleotides in length. Their secondary structure includes four short double-helical elements and three loops (D, anti-codon, and T loops). Further hydrogen bonds mediate the characteristic L-shaped molecular structure. tRNAs have two regions of fundamental functional importance: the anti-codon, which is responsible for specific mRNA codon recognition, and the 3' end, to which the tRNAs corresponding amino acid is attached (by aminoacyl-tRNA synthetases). tRNAs cope with the degeneracy of the genetic code in two manners: having more than one tRNA (with a specific anti-codon) for a particular amino acid; and 'wobble' base-pairing, i.e. permitting non-standard base-pairing at the 3rd anti-codon position. Lineage: Eukaryota; Fungi; Ascomycota; Leotiomycetes; Thelebolales; Thelebolaceae. The record is from Rfam by way of RNAcentral.